RNAcentral lists this transfer RNA (167 nucleotides) under Rhizobium etli bv. phaseoli str. IE4803. Its description in RNAcentral is "tRNA-Met (CAT) (tRNA-Met-CAT-2-1)". Lineage: Bacteria; Pseudomonadati; Pseudomonadota; Alphaproteobacteria; Hyphomicrobiales; Rhizobiaceae. The record is from RNAcentral.
GGCUGAGCGGUCGCUACUAGGGUAAUGCGACAUGAUGCGACAUGCUGCGAAGGCCGGGGUCACUGCGACAUAACUGCUACAUGAAUGAAAAAAACUUAACAAAAACAAUGCUGACACGGGGAAUCAUAAUCCUUGUGUCGGGGGUUCAAAUCCCUCCUCCGCUACCA